This 391-nucleotide unclassified non-coding RNA is filed under the name soil metagenome. RNAcentral describes it as "partial contains 5.8S ribosomal RNA, internal transcribed spacer 2, and large subunit ribosomal RNA". The stretch from base 1 to 122 matches the Rfam family "5.8S ribosomal RNA", at positions 35 to 154 of the family's 154-position model. The record is from RNAcentral.
GAUGAAGAACGUAGCGAAAUGCGAUACUUGGUGUGAAUUGCAGAAUCCCGUGAACCAUCGAGUCUUUGAACGCAAGUUGCGCCCGAAGCCACUAGGCCGAGGGCACGCCUGCCUGGGCGUCACACGCCGUUGCCCCCCCAUCUACUCCUUCGGGAUUGCGGGGGGGCGGAUGAUGGCCUCCCGUGCGCCUAGCCGCGCGGUUGGCAUAAAUACCAAGUCCUCGGCGACGCACGCCACGACAAUCGGUGGUUGCGAAACCUCGGUUGCCCGUCGUGGGCGUUCGUCGCGCAUCGAGGGCUCGAAAAAAUGCUCGGCUCCGGCUGGGCUUUCAACGCGACCCCAGGUCAGGCGGGGUUACCCGCUGAAUUUAAGCAUAUCAAUAAGCGGAGGA